AUUGAACGCUGGCGGCAGGCCUAACACAUGCAAGUCGAGCGAGUGGCGGACGGGUGAGUAAUGUAUGGGGAUCUGCCCGAUAGAGGGGGAUAACUACUGGAAACGGUGGCUAAUACCGCAUACUAUCGGAUGUGCCCAUAUGGGAUUAGCUAGUAGGUGGGGUAAAGGCUCACCUAGGCGACGAUCCCUAGCUGGUCUGAGAGGAUGAUCAGCCACACUGGAACUGAGACACGGUCCAGACUCCUACGGGAGGCAGCAGUGGGGAAUAUUGCACAAUGGGCGCAAGCCUGAUGCAGCCAUGCCGCGUGUAUGAAGAAGGCCUUCGGGUUGUAAAGUACUUUCAGUCGGGAGGCGUUACCGACAGAAGAAGCACCGGCUAACUCCGUGCCAGCAGCCGCGGUAAUAC
RNAcentral lists this ribosomal RNA (406 nucleotides) under uncultured bacterium. Its description in RNAcentral is "partial 16S ribosomal RNA". It matches the Rfam family "Bacterial small subunit ribosomal RNA", at positions 30 to 526 of the family's 1533-position model. The record is from RNAcentral.